UACGUAGGGCGCAAGCGUUGUCCGGAAUUAUUGGGCGUAAAGAGCGUGUAGGCGGCCAGGUAGGUGGGUUGUGAAAACUGGAGGCUCAACCUUCAGACGUCGACCCAAACCCCCUGGCUAGAGUCCGGAAGAGGAGAGUGGAAUUCCUGGUGUAGCGGUGAAAUGCGCAGAUAUCAGGAAGAACACCAACGGCGAAGGCAGCUCGCUGGGACGGUACUGACGCUGAGACGCGAAAGCGUGGGGAGCGAACAGG
Molecule: ribosomal RNA, 253 nt
Filed under: uncultured bacterium
Lineage: Bacteria
Description: partial 16S ribosomal RNA
Rfam family: Bacterial small subunit ribosomal RNA
Source: RNAcentral